UACGUAGGGGGCUAGCGUUAUCCGGAAUUACUGGGCGUAAAGGGUGCGUAGGUGGUUUCUUAAGUCAGAGGUGAAAGGCUACGGCUCAACCGUAGUAAGCCUUUGAAACUGGGAAACUUGAGUGCAGGAGAGGAGAGUGGAGUUCCUAGUGUAGCGGUGAAAUGCGUAGAUAUUAGGAGGAACACCAGUUGCGAAGGCGGCUCUCUGGACUGUAACUGACACUGAGGCACGAAAGCGUGGGGAGCAAACAGG
This 252-nucleotide ribosomal RNA is filed under the name uncultured bacterium. Its description in RNAcentral is "partial 16S ribosomal RNA". It matches the Rfam family "Bacterial small subunit ribosomal RNA", at positions 524 to 776 of the family's 1533-position model. The record is from RNAcentral.